Molecule: non-coding RNA, 450 nt
Organism: Heterocephalus glaber (naked mole-rat)
Lineage: Eukaryota; Metazoa; Chordata; Mammalia; Rodentia; Bathyergidae
Source: RefSeq, a predicted model, not a curated record
UCCGCGGCCACCUGAAGGUUAGGUAGCUGCGUCCACCCGGCUUUUACCAGAGUUCCUCAACUUGGUUCCGCUUGCGAGCUUUACGGUUAAUCCAGUUUUUUCCCAUCCUUCAGGCCAGACACUGGGGCCUGCAGAACAUAGUGGAAGGGGACAUGGGUGUGCGUAGGGGAUCGAACUUGGGUCCUUGCGCUUUCGAGGCAGGCACCUGAACCACAGAGCUAAAUCCCCGGACUCCCCUAAGUCAUUUUCAAUUACUUUCUUGAAUAGAAUCUAUCUUCAGCAUCUUCAACAUGGCUCUGGUUUUCUGUUAACAUGAAAAGCUUACACACACCUGGGAUGCAGCUAGAAGAUCUUACUAUGUUUAACAAGUUGUAUCAAAAUUCCUAAUGCAUUUAUUUAUAUGUUGGGACAACUAAUAUUGAGAAAAAUACGUACUAUACAAUGCAUCCU